AACUCCAGCAAAGGAGAGCAACUGUAUUAGCAGCUUCCUGCCCAGCCCAGGGCUCUCACUGGGAGAGGCCCCAUGACCUCUGCUUGAAAGGCCAAGGCUUUCUAAAGAGGCAGGCGCUGCUUCACUCCUUGGAUGCACUUACCCUCAAGGUUGACCGAUAGCUGCUGAUUCAAGCGCCAGAGAUCUUGUCCUGAGGUGACGUGCUCGGAGGCUGCAGAGAACCCGUCUGUCUGUCUAGGUCCGUCUUUAAGAUUAAGGAAACUUUCCCCAGAAGUGUUCCCAGAACCUGCUUCUGGGUCUCAUCGGCCAAAGUUCAGCCACACACUCAUUCCUGUAACUCCUAGUCGGGGUAACGUAGGUUCUUUGCCUAGCAGGUAUCAUGGUGCACAUCUGGAAUCCCAGAAUUCAGGAGGCCGAGGCAAGAGGAUUGCUAGCUCAAGCCCAGCCUGGGCUACAGCGAGACGCCUCCUAAAACAAAAACAAGCCAGGUGGUGGUGAGAUAGCUUGUGUUUUCUUCAGUACUUUGAUCCUGUUGGAAUUUAUUUCCAUGCUAAGAGUGAGCUGAUCCUGUGCGGACUCUGGGCUCCAGCCAUUUUAAUUACUCUUGCUGUGCAGUGUUCUGCAGAAUGUCUGGCAGACCUACCCUUCCGUGCUUAGUGCACUUUGUUUUUCUCUGGAAUUUUUCUCUCUAUUCUUUUAUAUAUGUCCCCCCACCCCCAGUUAAAAUUGUCAUCA
Mus caroli (Ryukyu mouse) is the source of this 735-nucleotide non-coding RNA. The record is from RefSeq and is a predicted model, not a curated record. Lineage: Eukaryota; Metazoa; Chordata; Mammalia; Rodentia; Muridae.